RNAcentral lists this unclassified non-coding RNA (172 nucleotides) under uncultured fungus. RNAcentral's name for it is "sequence contains ITS1, 5.8S rRNA gene". Lineage: Eukaryota; Fungi. The record is from RNAcentral.
CUGAGUGAGGGCCCCUCGGGGUCCAACCUCCCACCCGUGUUUAACGAACCUUGUUGCUUCGGCGGGCCCGCCUCACGGCCGCCGGGGGGCAUCUGCCCCCGGGCCCGCGCCCGCCGAAGCCACCUGUGAACGCUGUCUGAAGUAUGCAGUCUGAGAAAAAACAAAAUGAACA